Molecule: small RNA, 690 nt
Filed under: Pongo abelii (Sumatran orangutan)
Lineage: Eukaryota; Metazoa; Chordata; Mammalia; Primates; Hominidae
Description: processed transcript
Source: RNAcentral
GUGAUCUGUGGCGGCUGCUGCAGAGCCGCCAGGAGGAGGGUGGAUCUCCCUAGAGCAAAGCGUCGGAGUCCUCCUCCUCCUUCUCCUCCUCCAGCCGCCCAGGCUCCCCCGCCACCCGUCAGACUCCUCCUUCGACCGCUCCCGGCGCGGGGCCUCCCAGGCGACAAGGACCGAGUACCCUCCGGCCGGAGCCACGCAGCCGCGGCUUCCGGAGCCCUCGGGGCGGCGGACUGGCUCGCGGUGCAGGGAGCAGAUUUUAAGAGUAAAAGAAGAUGAGAAUGUUCCAUUUCUACUGGUUGGUAACAAAUCAGAUUUAGAAGAUAAAAGGCAGGUUUCUGUAGAAGAGGCAAAAAACAGAGCUGAGCAGUGGAAUGUUAACUACGUGGAAACAUCUGCUAAAACACGAGCUAAUGUUGACAAGGUAUUUUUUGAUUUAAUGAGAGAAAUUCGAGCGAGAAAGAUGGAAGACAGCAAAGAAAAGAAUGGAAAAAAGAAGAGGAAAAGUUUAGCCAAGAGAAUCAGAGAAAGAUGCUGCAUUUUAUAAUUAAAGCCCAAACUCCUUUCUUAUCUUGACCAUACUAAUAAAUAUAAUUUAUAAGCAUUGCCAUUGAAGGCUUAAUUGACUGAAAUUACUUUAACAUUUUGGAAAUUGUUGUAUAUCACUAAAAGCAUGAAUUGGAACUGCAAUGA